CCCGAGACCCGCGACUGGUGGUGUCCCGCCAGGGGCCGGUGCUGGGGCCAGCACUGGCCAUCGUUAUAGGCCACAUGGAGAGUGGGACUGAGUUCGCUCUCAUCAAAAUUGCUGAUAUACCAAGCUGUGUGGUGCCAUCAAAAGGAUGCCAUCCAGAGGCAUCGGGAUAGGCUUGAGAGAUGGUCCCAUGUGAAUCUCAUGAAGUUCAGCAAGGCCAAGUGCAAGGUCCUGCACCUGUUCAGGGCAAUCCCAGAGGCUGGGUGAUUGAGAGCAGCCCUGCAGAGAAAGACUUGGGGGUAAUGGCUGAUGAAAAACUCAGCUUGAGGCAGCAGAGUGCACUUGCAGCCCAGGAAGCCAGCCAUGCCCUGGGCUGCAUCAAAAGCACUGUGGGCAGCAGGUCAGGGGAAUGGAUUGUUCCCCUCUCCUCCUGGGAGACCCUGCUGUGUCACAGGCUCUGCCAGCAGAAGGAGGACAUGGAACUGUUGGAGCAAGCCCAGAGUAGCACCACGAAGUUGAUAAGAGGACUGGAGCACCUUCCUUAUGAAGACAGGGUAGCAGUUAGGAAUGUUCAGCCUGGAGAAGAGAAGGUCGCAUGGAGACCUCACGGCAACCUUCCAGUAUCCAAAGGGGUUCUACAGGGAAGCCACAGAGGGACUCUUUUUCAGGAACUUUAGUGACAGGACAAUGAGUAAUAGCCUCAGAAAGAGAAGUUUCAGAGUGGAAUAUGGAUGCUACGUGUGAUGUAAGUGACUAUUAUCAUCUGCCUCACCUACUUGUCUGACUUUAAAUAAUUAAACAAACAAACAAAAAAAUAUAAUUACAGGAAUCUGAAAUAAAUUAUUAGAAUGGAAAUAAUAUUCAUUGUCAUUCCUGGUGAUACUGGCUUGACACAUUAGGGUCUUUAUACGUCUUUCAAAAAUGGUUUGUGAUUUUUUAAUGUCAAAUAAGUGAUGGAGCAGGUACCACUCUUAGGCAAAAAAGGCCACUGCAAAUUAAAUCACAGUAACAAGAUAAGGCUGUCACUAUGCAAGUCUCUGCUGCCCUGAAGCUAAUGUGCACAAUCUGUUUUUGCAAGUGCUUUCGUGUUUUUGCUCUUUAUUAUGAACAUAUACAGCAUGUAAGUGUUUUUAGUAUUGGCUGACUCUGGUAUUUUGUAGUCACGAUUGUGGUAUUUAAACAGGAGAUGAUCUGUUCUGCACAUGGAAAAGGGACUGUGUUAAAGAGGAAAUAAUUUUAAAAAGCAUUGCUUUUUUUUGGCAAGAGGAUGUUAUGUUUAUUUCUCAAAGAACAUACUCAGUGUUCAUUAUGUUCAUGUACAUACCCAUGCUGAUUUGAAUCUGAUUUCUAUUCCGUACCUCGGAAGCAUUAUCACCAUGUUAGAAAUGCAAGUGUGCUAUUAAAUUGCAAAGUUCUUACAUGUAUAUAGUCUCAUCUAAUUCAGAUGUUGUAUAACAUGACUUCCCAAUUUCACUCUAGGAGCUGUGAUUACUUAGAUUAAAUAAGCAAUGUCACUUGAAUAGCAACUUCCAUGAAUAAUGGGGAUCUUUUUAUAAAACUUCAUCAUCUUGUUAAUACCCAAAUGCAUUUGGUAUGGUAAAACAGCACAUUGCCAUUAAUUAAGAAAAUUUCGUUGAAAGAAUCUGCCUGGCAGUGAUUUUUAAAACACAUUUCAAGACUUUCUGAAAGUCUUUAAAUACAAACAUGACAUGAUUGUGUUAUGAAGAUGUGUUUGAUGAGGUGAAAGCAGUGAAGAUUUGAGAGAAGUGAGUACUGAUGUUAUCUCCUGAAUAAAUUAAGAAUCAAUAAGUUUCUUAAUGGAGAGCAAGAGUCAAGGUGAAGGUGAGAAGGACAAAACAAAAGAGUAGGAGGUGAGAAUGAAUCCAAACAGGUCCUAAGGCAAGGAGGAAGUACUUUCUCUCUGGUUGAGAUAGUCUUUAGAUUUGGUUCCAUAGGAUAUGAUGGAGUUGCAUAAGGGCAUAAUUCUGAGCUCCAUGGUCAAGGCACUGGUUUGACAUAGUAAAGGAAGCUCUCUUCAUGUGAUCUAAAGAUAGGUAAGUAAAAACAGUCAUCUUUUGUUUCUGUUCAGCCAUUUUGGUAACUUCUGUUUCUAUUCAGCAGUUUUAAGUGAGAAGUAUAGUGCUCUAGGCAUAAUUGCCUACCAGCAGAUGGGUCCUCUGGGGGAGUGGUAUGGCUAUCAGAAAAUGUGAAAAAUUAGGUAGGAUGACUGGACCCUGAAGUAAUCUUAACACUCCCUUUCACUUCUUCCUGCCCAUCAACUUCAAUAAACCAGUGCACAAAAGCUGUUUGGAAAACGGCCAAUUCAAAACAAAAUUUUGUGUGUCAUUGUAGUUAUAUGAAUGCUAAGCAACACCUACAAUGAAGCAAACUGUGGAGAAGCUGUGCCCUUUCAGAAACAUUUCAUAGAGUUCCAUAAAAAAAAAAAAAAAGGUAAAAUGUCUUUGGUAACAAGUCUAGCCUAGAAACUUUUCACAGCAGCUUUCCAUGAUGGUUUCAGAGUAAUUUAUGUCAAAAAAUUCAAAUAUCAGUAGAAACUGUGAUUUCCGUAGGUAUAAAGUGACUCAGUGUGAUAUCAUGGUGAUAGAAGUGUGAUACCAUGGUGAAAAAACACACAGGAACUUCUGUUACACUUGUGUGAAUAGGUGUGCAGAACAAAAAACCUCACUGAAUGUCAAAGAUGUGAUUCUGUCAUAGGUAUUAUCCCAUCAGGCCUGAGGUGAUGACAUAAAAUUGUGCAUCUCUUGACUUAGUAGGUCUUUCAUAGUUGAUUUCUGAAACUAUAUGCCAAACAGUACCACCAUCUUUCAGUUCAUUCUAAGUGACAGAUGGGAAAGACUUGUCACCCUUCCCUGUGUGCUGUGGCCCAAGCUUGUCCUGGAGAAGACAGUGAAAUGUGUGCACAUUGGCUGUGAUGUCACCCCAGGAGGCACAACUCCAAGGCUAGACUGUAAUCCUUAUCACAUGUAUAUCAGUAAUUCCUUUCUUUUCACUGGAGUUUCACUGCUGAUGUGAGGAACAUCAGCUACAAUUCCUGACUGUUGGAAAUCAACCAGAAAUUUGAUUUCUGUAGAUGAAACAAUAGUUUAAAACAGCAGAUUUAUUAAGUCUUUGACUAUGAACUGGAAGAUUUAUGUAUGAGCCUAAGUCUUAUGGCUUUAAACUUUAUAAUUUUAAUGUAGCCUUAUUUUUAAAAUGGAAUUCAUUCAUGUUACUACUGUGUAGUAAUGUUUUACAGGCACUAUUAAUUCUUAUCCAGGAUUACAAAUAUGCCUAAGAAUGAAAUGGAUGUAGAUGUUAUGGUAUUAAUUUAUGUAUUUUUGGAAAACAUCAAAGUCACAUAACUUUAUGACUAAUGAUUUAAUUUCAUUAUACAGGUCUGCAUUUUCAUCUUCAAAGAAAUCUGCAACCAAUGACUAAUUAAUCCUUGCAACAGUGCUUUGAAAUAGGUAGAUAGAUGUAAUUAAUUCCAUCUAACCAAUUCCUUGCCAAAGGCAAUAUGUUGAAUCAAUAUUUAAACUAAGAUUAGAGGUCAUUCUUACUUUUCAGUCAUUUCACUAAAGUAGCAAUUCCCAAGUGUCCUUGAUGUGAUAGUUUAGAUGGACAUAUGCUUUGGCCUGUGCCAGAUCUUCAGUCUCUAUCAUCCACUUCUCUGCCAAAAUGCUUUCUGUCCUUCUUCCCCUCAGAAAAGUCUUCCACUCUGGUCAAGCCACAUGUGCAAUGUCCUGCUUUUCACCUCCAGAAUCCCAUACCUGCCUUUUUCUUUCUUAUUCAUAUCCCUCCUUAACCAAGUCCUUGCAACCACAGUCCUCCUCCCACGACUUUUCUGUCUUCCAGGUGCCAUUGCCCCUCUCUGGUGGAUCCUUGCUUCUGUGCUUGGCAUGCAUGUAGCAUCCCCUAAUGAAAUAGCAUUGCUUUCCCCUGCCCUGGCCUCCCCAGCAGCCAUGAGGAAGCUCUGCUGGUGUAGCUGCUUUUCUCUUCUAGCUGGCUCAUUCUUGUGUGGUGAGCAGAGAGAAGAUUGAAGGAUAAUCCCCAGCAGACAAUGGUGAAAUGAUUUGAAGAAAAACAGAGAAAGAUUGAGCUUUCAUCUUUCCUCUGAGAGUAUGCAAGCCGUACUCAUGAGAGAUAUGGACAAACUGGCAUGGCAAGAGAUACUGGAAAACCUAAGCAUAAAGGAAUAUGAAAGAUAUGGCAGGAGAGAGAAUUUUUAAGUGGAAUGCAAAAUUAUGCAGAAAACAUGUGAGUUAUGUUCUCUCGAAGCUGAAAAUUACUCACCCCUUUCAUAUGCAAAUGUUGUAAAGAUGCCUUCUAUCUGAAAAGGCCCAGAAAUAACAGCUUCAGCCUUUGGAGUACAAGAAAUCUGCAUGCUACUUAUGGAACCCAUAGCAGAGGUCUCAUGAUAAUGUGGUCAGAAGGCACAAUGUGAAGACUGCAAAGUACUGCUGUGAGAAAGGGCACUGACUUAUUCACCAGCCAGAGGAAACAGGUGCAUGAUGAAUGGUGCAAGGAAAAACAAGUGAGCAAGGAUCUAACCUAACUUGAAUGGAAUGGCUCUUCAGUCUGCUUUGUAACUUGUGGUUUUGGCAAUUUUUGGUAUGCACUACAGAGGCUAAAUCCCUCCACUCUUUCUGAUACUUUGUGCUACACCAAUUGACCUAAGGAUAGGAUUUAAACAUAAGGUUGUCCUUGAGGCAAGGACUUUGAAACCAGAAAUGUGGAAAUUAGCUUUUCCUCUCCUUUAGUGUAGAUUUACCACCAACUCAGAAACCUAUGACGCAGUUUCCUCCUCUACCUCUAAUGACACAGAUGCCUAAAGUUCUUAGCCUGAAAACCUGAAUUUACCUCUGCUUAUUUCUCCAUGUAGGAUGAAUGAUUCAUUUUGUUCCAUGACGCUGCUUCCAACUGCAAAACUGUUACAUAAAGGCACUCAGGCCUUCUGCUUUUCAUUCAGCUUUGGGAAUUUCCUCUGCUUUAUCACCAAGACCUAGGUAGAGUGAAGUUCAGGAUGAUUUUGAAUCAGCAAUCCACACAGAGUAUAUUUUUUUGUAUUUAUGUUAUGUUUCUGUUAUAGUAUACUUUCUGGUAUUUAACAUUUAUCCCACUUCAAAAUUCAAUAUUUUUAAGUUAAAUACUGCUUUGUCUUGUCUAUGAUCAUUGUAUAUCAGCAUGAUAUUUACCCAGUCCCAAUUCAAGAAGACUGUCCUCUUCAGAAGGGAGCUCAGGAAUCUGUGUAUAUCACAAGACCAGCAGUGGGAAGAAUACACACAGAUUUAACAAAUGAAUAGAAAUGGCCUGCACUGGGAAUAGUUUAUUCCCCAAAAUAACUCAAUUAAUUCUAUUUAUUCUUGUAUAUUUUUUAAAACCAAAAACGUAUACAGCUCUUUUAAUUGUGAAGGUUUUUUAGUCCUAAUUUUUCUCCUGGCUCUCAAUAUUUGUUUAUUUCUGUUUAUGAGUUUUAUGCUCAUCUAUAGCUUCAAAGGUAAUUAAAUAUGCACCCUCUGAUUAGGCAGGCCCCACACAUGGGCAGCAUCUGUUCAACACAGUGAGAUGUAGACUGACCUAUAUAGAGAUGGGUGAUGAAGGGAUGAGGACUUCUCCUGUUUCCUCACCCAGGUUUCCUUUUUGUAUGAUAGACUAGGAUGCUGCUUUGCUCCUAAUAUAAUGGUUAACCAUUCCUAACAAAGUGAUUUUCAGUAGGUGAAACUUUCCAGUUUAUUAGCAUUAUUUUGACUUUGAAAAAAUGAUAAUUAGUAUGUGCUAAAAUGGUAUACCUGAGGCUUUCUGCUAUUAGCUCUGAAACAGGAGACAAAGAGCCAGGAGUAAUAGAACAUUUUAAAUUUGGUUUGGGAAGUAUUAAUAUGCUUCAUGUAAAACUAUUAUUUCUGUUCACUGUAAGCUAUUAUUGAAACAUAUUAAAGGCAAUCAUCACAAUAUUCUAGACAUCAUACUAUUCUCUGUCAGUAUGUUAUUAAAUAGCAUCAUAUAUAUGACAAAUGUGUUCUCUAAGCAUUUAAAUGAUUUGUUUUGUUUGGGGAGGAGGGGAAAUGCAGCAAAACAGCACUAUUGGGCCAUAUUUUUAGCUGCUGCAAAUUAACAUAGCUCCACUGGGAGUAGUGCCAGGAAUUUAAAAUUAUUGUUGAACUUUACAGUAGAAUCAGCUACUGUGGCACUUCAAUUAUA
Molecule: long non-coding RNA, 6195 nt
Organism: Passer domesticus (house sparrow)
Lineage: Eukaryota; Metazoa; Chordata; Aves; Passeriformes; Passeridae
Exons: 5
Source: RefSeq, a predicted model, not a curated record